GGAGGUAGUGACAAUAAAUCACAAUGCGGGACUAUUUAGUUUUGCAAUUGAAUUGAGAACAAUGUACAAGAGUUAUCGAUAAACAAUUGGAGGGCAAGUCUGGUGCCAGCAGCCGCGGUAAUUCCAGCUCCAAUAGCGUAUAUUAACGUUGUUGCAGUUAAAAAGCUCGUAGUUGAAGUGUGGGAUAAUGUAUAUUGGAUCUUUUAGUGAAGAUAUAUGUUGUCCUCCCCCCAAUUUCGGUCUGUGGGUAUUAAUUUACUUGCAGUUCGUGUUGGUCAUUUACUGUGAGAAAAUUAGAGUGUUCAAAGCAGGCAUUUGCUUGAAUAUAUUAGCAUGGAAUAAUAAUAAAAGGCUUGUAUGGUCGAUUUAAUUGGUUUGUUCAUAUAAGCAAGAUUAAUAGGGACAGUUGGGGGUAUUCAUAUUCAAUAGUUAGAGGUGAAAUUCUCGGAUUUAUGGAAGAUGAACAAGUGCGAAAGCA
This 478-nucleotide ribosomal RNA is filed under the name Blastocystis sp. RNAcentral's name for it is "SSU rRNA". It matches the Rfam family "Eukaryotic small subunit ribosomal RNA", at positions 460 to 953 of the family's 1831-position model. Lineage: Eukaryota; Bigyra; Opalinata; Blastocystidae. The record is from RNAcentral.